Molecule: ribosomal RNA, 486 nt
Filed under: uncultured Lachnospiraceae bacterium
Lineage: Bacteria; Bacillati; Bacillota; Clostridia; Lachnospirales; Lachnospiraceae
Description: partial 16S ribosomal RNA
Source: RNAcentral
CACGUAGUUAGCCGGGACUUCUUAGUCAGGUACCGUCAUUUUCUUCCCUGCUGAUAGAGCUUUACAUACCGAAAUACUUCUUCACUCACGCGGCGUCGCUGCAUCAGGGUUCCCCCCAUUGUGCAAUAUUCCCCACUGCUGCCUCCCGUAGGAGUUUGGGCCGUGUCUCAGUCCCAAUGUGGCCGGUCACCCUCUCAGGCCGGCUACUGAUCGUCGCCUUGGUGGGCCUCUACCCCGCCAACUAGCUAAUCAGACGCGGGUCCAUCGUAUACCGUUUACGCUUUUCACACUGCUCCAUGCGAAGCUGUGCGCUUAUGCGGUAUUAGCACCUAUUUCUAAGUGUUAUCCCCCUGUAUACGGCAGGUUACCCACGCGUUACUCACCCGUCCGCCACUAAACAAAAUCACUAGGUUUCAUUCUGUUCCCGUUCGACUUGCAUGUGUUAGGCACGCCGCCAGCGUUCAUCCUGAGCCAGGAUCAAACUCU